Non-coding RNA from Tauraco erythrolophus (red-crested turaco), 317 nucleotides. The record is from RefSeq and is a predicted model, not a curated record. Lineage: Eukaryota; Metazoa; Chordata; Aves; Musophagiformes; Musophagidae.
CAGAUGUAUGCCUGUGUUUGUGACUGGCUUGGAUUUCCCUAUAGAGAAGAAGUACAGUGGGAUGUCGAUACUAUUUAUCUGACACAAGAUACCAGAGAGUUGAAUUUGCAAGACUUCAGCCACCUUGACCACAGAGACUUAAUACCUAUAGUUGCUGCUCUGGAGUAUAAUCAGUGGUUUACGAAGCUGUCCUCCAAGGAUCUGAAAUUAUCCACUGAUGUCUGUGAGCAGAUACUGCGAGUGGUGAGUAGGUCCAAUCGAUUGGAAGAACUGGUAUUAGAGAAUGCCGGGCUUAGAACGUAAGUAAUUCCUUUGAA